Molecule: unclassified non-coding RNA, 98 nt
Organism: Dipodomys ordii (Ord's kangaroo rat)
Lineage: Eukaryota; Metazoa; Chordata; Mammalia; Rodentia; Heteromyidae
Rfam family: Y RNA
About the family: Y RNAs are components of the Ro ribonucleoprotein particle (Ro RNP), in association with Ro60 and La proteins.
Source: Ensembl
GGCUGGUCUGAGUGCAGUGGUGUUUACAGUUAAUCAAUCACAACCAGUUAGGUAUCUUUGUUCCUUAUUCUCUCCCAUUGCUUUAUUUGACUAGGAAG